UGAGGAAUUUUGCGCAAUGGGGGCAACCCUGACGCAGCAACGCCGCGUGGGUGAUGAAGGCCUUCGGGUCGUAAAGCCCUGUCAGGUGGGAAGAAAGCCCUGGGGAUGAAAAAGCCUUGGGAGUGACGGUACCACCAGAGGAAGCACCGGCUAACUCCGUGCCAGCAGCCGCGGUAAUACGGAGGGUGCGAGCGUUAUUCGGAAUUACUGGGCGUAAAGCGCGUGUAGGCGGCUUGACAAGUCUGAUGGGAAAGCCCUGGGCUCAACCUGGGAAGUGCAUUGGAAACUGUUAGGCUUGAGUACCGGAGAGGAUGGGGGAAUGCCCGGUGUAGAGGUGAAAUUCGUAGAGAUCGGGAGGAAUACCAGUGGCGAAGGCGCCCAUCUGGACGGCUACUGACGCUGAGACACGAAAGCGUGGGGAGCAAACA
This 428-nucleotide ribosomal RNA is filed under the name uncultured prokaryote. RNAcentral's name for it is "bacterial SSU rRNA". It matches the Rfam family "Bacterial small subunit ribosomal RNA", at positions 355 to 774 of the family's 1533-position model. The record is from RNAcentral.